Long non-coding RNA from Coregonus clupeaformis (lake whitefish), 384 nucleotides. RefSeq lists it as uncharacterized. The transcript has 2 exons. Lineage: Eukaryota; Metazoa; Chordata; Actinopteri; Salmoniformes; Salmonidae. The record is from RefSeq and is a predicted model, not a curated record.
GACAUCAUACAAGUCUUCAGAGAAGCCUGGUGUGACAAGUGAUUCAACAAUGGCAAAAACAGCAGCAGAAAGGCAAAGAGAGUACAGGGCAAGAAGAAAUGCUGAUCCAGAACGAAGGGAAAAGUACCUCAGGAGUGAACGCAUGAGAUGGACAAAAUAUGUUUUAGCAAGAAAGAAGAAAGGAAUAGGAGAUCUAGAUAAGAGAGGUCAAAAGAUGAGGAGAAAGGGAUGGAGAAAAGCGAAGGAGCGGCAAAAGCAAAGGGAAAUGGCUGUUAAUACUAUUGCCACCGCUCCACAAAGUCCUGAUAGAGACGUGGUGAUGUCACAUGAGCCCACAAGGUUAGGAAAAAGAUUGUGUGUGAGAGAGAGAGAGAGAGAGAGAGA